Molecule: ribosomal RNA, 537 nt
Filed under: Diaporthe phyllanthicola
Lineage: Eukaryota; Fungi; Ascomycota; Sordariomycetes; Diaporthales; Diaporthaceae
Description: eukaryotic LSU rRNA
Rfam family: 5.8S ribosomal RNA (bases 214-367)
Source: RNAcentral
GUAACAAGGUCUCCGUUGGUGAACCAGCGGAGGGAUCAUUGCUGGAACGCGCCCUAGGCGCACCCAGAAACCCUUUGUGAACUUAUACCUUUUGUUGCCUCGGCGCAUGCUGGCCCCUAUGGGGUCCCCUGGAGACAGGGAGCAGGCACGCCGGCGGCCAAGUUAACUCUUGUUUUUACACUGAAACUCUGAGAAAAAACACAAAUGAAUCAAAACUUUCAACAACGGAUCUCUUGGUUCUGGCAUCGAUGAAGAACGCAGCGAAAUGCGAUAAGUAAUGUGAAUUGCAGAAUUCAGUGAAUCAUCGAAUCUUUGAACGCACAUUGCGCCCUCUGGUAUUCCGGAGGGCAUGCCUGUUCGAGCGUCAUUUCAACCCUCAAGCAUUGCUUGGUGUUGGGGCACUGCUUUUAACGGAGCAGGCCCUGAAAUCUAGUGGCGAGCUCGCCAGGACCCCGAGCGUAGUAGUUAAACCCUCGCUUUGGAAGGCCCUGGCGGUGCCCUGCCGUUAAACCCCCAACUUUUGAAAAUUUGACCUCG